This 704-nucleotide ribosomal RNA is filed under the name unidentified microorganism. RNAcentral's name for it is "bacterial SSU rRNA". It matches the Rfam family "Bacterial small subunit ribosomal RNA", at positions 51 to 802 of the family's 1533-position model. The record is from RNAcentral.
ACACAUGCAGUCGAACGAACUCUUCGGAGUUAGUGGCGGACGGGUGAGUAACACGUGGGAACGUGCCUUUAGGUUCGGAAUAACUCAGGGAAACUUGUGCUAAUACCGAAUGUGCCCUUCGGGGGAAAGAUUUAUCGCCUUUAGAGCGGCCCGCGUCUGAUUAGCUAGUUGGUGAGGUAAAGGCUCACCAAGGCGACGAUCAGUAGCUGGUCUGAGAGGAUGAUCAGCCACAUUGGGACUGAGACACGGCCCAAACUCCUACGGGAGGCAGCAGUGGGGAAUCUUGCGCAAUGGGCGAAAGCCUGACGCAGCCAUGCCGCGUGAAUGAUGAAGGUCUUAGGAUUGUAAAAUUCUUUCACCGGGGACGAUAAUGACGGUACCCGGAGAAGAAGCCCCGGCUAACUUCGUGCCAGCAGCCGCGGUAAUACGAAGGGGGCUAGCGUUGCUCGGAAUUACUGGGCGUAAAGGGAGCGUAGGCGGACAUUUAAGUCAGGGGUGAAAUCCCGGGGCUCAACCUCGGAAUUGCCUUUGAUACUGGGUGUCUUGAGUAUGAGAGAGGUGUGUGGAACUCCGAGUGUAGAGGUGAAAUUCGUAGAUAUUCGGAAGAACACCAGUGGCGAAGGCGACACACUGGCUCAUUACUGACGCUGAGGCUCGAAAGCGUGGGGAGCAAACAGGAUUAGAUACCCUGGUAGUCCACGCCG